This 232-nucleotide long non-coding RNA is filed under the name Elaeis guineensis (African oil palm). RNAcentral's name for it is "long non-coding RNA (EGUI_LNC051179)". The record is from RNAcentral. Lineage: Eukaryota; Viridiplantae; Streptophyta; Magnoliopsida; Arecales; Arecaceae.
CCUCAAAUUGGAAUGAAAGAGGAUGAUGAUUCUAAGAAGAAAGAGAAGGUAAUCCUCAAUGUUGUAGAGUUGGAGAAGCUACCUAAACUUGAGCAAGUAGUUCCAAAUUAGGUUGGAUGGUGAGAAAACCAAAGACAACAACUGAGGUAGAUUUAAAGGUCUGAGAAGCUCUUCCAUUUGAAGAUCCAGGUGAAGUGGAGCAUCAUAGAGAUUAUUUUUUAUCUUGGAAGCC